This 64-nucleotide transfer RNA is filed under the name Dipodomys ordii (Ord's kangaroo rat). It matches the Rfam family "tRNA", at positions 1 to 62 of the family's 71-position model. Rfam says of the family: Transfer RNA (tRNA) molecules are approximately 80 nucleotides in length. Their secondary structure includes four short double-helical elements and three loops (D, anti-codon, and T loops). Further hydrogen bonds mediate the characteristic L-shaped molecular structure. tRNAs have two regions of fundamental functional importance: the anti-codon, which is responsible for specific mRNA codon recognition, and the 3' end, to which the tRNAs corresponding amino acid is attached (by aminoacyl-tRNA synthetases). tRNAs cope with the degeneracy of the genetic code in two manners: having more than one tRNA (with a specific anti-codon) for a particular amino acid; and 'wobble' base-pairing, i.e. permitting non-standard base-pairing at the 3rd anti-codon position. The record is from Rfam by way of RNAcentral. Lineage: Eukaryota; Metazoa; Chordata; Mammalia; Rodentia; Heteromyidae.
GGGAAGUUGGCUCAGUGGUAGAGUGUUUGUCUUGCAUGCAUAAGGCUGUGAGUUUGAUUUCUCA